UAACGGCGAGUGAAGCGGCAACAGCUCAAAUUUGAAAUCUGGUCCUUUCAGGCCCCGAGUUGUAAUUUGUAGAGGAUGUUUCGGGCGCGGCGCGGGUCUAAGUCCUUUGGAACAGGGCGUCAUAGAGGGUGAGAAUCCCGUAUGUGACCUGUGAUCAAGCCCAUGUGAAACCCCUUCGACGAGUCGAGUUGUUUGGGAAUGCAGCUCARAAUGGGUGGUAAAUUUCAUCUAAAGCUAAAUACCGGCCAGAGACCGAUAGCGCACAAGUAGAGUGAUCGAAAGAUGAAAAGCACUUUGGAAAGAGAGUCAAAAAGUACGUGAAAUUGUUGAAAGGGAAGCGCUUGCAACCAGACCUGCCCGCGGGCGAUCAACUCCCGUUCUCGGGGGUGCACUCGUCCGUGAUCAGGCCAGCAUCGGUUCGGGCGGUCGGAUAAAGGCCUUGGGAAUGUAGCUCCUUCCGGGGAGUGUUAUAGCCCUUGGUGCAGUGCGACCAGCCCAGACCGAGGACCGCGCCUUCGGGCUAGGAUGCUGGCGUAAUGGUUGUAAGCGACCCGUCUUGAAACACGGACCAAGGAGUCUAACAUCUAUGCAAGUGUUUGGGUGUCAAACCCAUGCGCGUAAUGAAAGUGAACGGAGGUGAGAACCCUUAAGGGCGCAUCAUCGACCGAUCCAGAUGUCUUCGGAUGGAUUUGAGUACGAGCAUAGCUGUUGGGACCCGAAAGAUGGUGAACUAUGCCUGAAUAGGGUGAAGCCAGAGGAAACUCUGGUGGAGGCUCGCAGCGGUUCUGACGUGCAAAUCGAUCGUCAAAUUUGGGUAUAGGGGCGAAAGACUAAUCGAACCAUCUAGUA
This 849-nucleotide ribosomal RNA is filed under the name Cladonia minisaxicola. Its description in RNAcentral is "LSU rRNA". It matches the Rfam family "Eukaryotic large subunit ribosomal RNA", at positions 84 to 949 of the family's 3401-position model. Lineage: Eukaryota; Fungi; Ascomycota; Lecanoromycetes; Lecanorales; Cladoniaceae. The record is from RNAcentral.